GCGGGUGCGUGGCGCAAUGGAUAACGCGUCUGACUACGGAUCAGAAGAUUCCAGGUUCGAAUCCUGGCGCGCUCGC
RNAcentral lists this transfer RNA (76 nucleotides) under Echinococcus granulosus. It matches the Rfam family "tRNA". From Rfam's summary of the family: Transfer RNA (tRNA) molecules are approximately 80 nucleotides in length. Their secondary structure includes four short double-helical elements and three loops (D, anti-codon, and T loops). The record is from RNAcentral. Lineage: Eukaryota; Metazoa; Platyhelminthes; Cestoda; Cyclophyllidea; Taeniidae.